UUUGCUCAAACCCUAUCAUCGGUAAAACUCUCAUCGGUAAAGCUCUCAUCAGUAAAGCUCUUUUGCUCUCAUUUUACAUGUUUUCUUUUAGCUGCAUACAUAUACCUUACUUUUCCCCAAUUAACUAAGAUUUUUCUUUUUCAGAUUAGCAAGUCUUUUUUUGCAAAUAUGUUGUAUUCUUCCCUACUGUUGAAUUUAUUUAUUUAUUUUGUUUCUCUUAGGUGAUUAACAUGAGUAAUUGAUUGUUACUUAAAAAGAUAUUGAAAUUUGUUUACUUAUAUUUUGAAUCAUUUGGUUAAAUAAUAUGAACUGUGUAAAAUUAAGAGAGAUGUAUUUCUUACAUUGUUAUGCGAUUUUGUCUUAUUCCUCAACGUAUGAGCUGGUGUAUUUCUUUGCAUAUGUUAUUUGUUGUCACAAUGCGAAGGUAAAUUCCAUGAGUUAAAUAGUAACUGGAUAUGUUCUAUUUGCAGGAACUCUUUGUAAGAAUGGAAACUAUAACUUCUGGAGCAGAUGCAGAGGUGGUUGUCAAUAAUCCUUCGCCAGUGGCAGCUCAAAAACAAAGUGAAGACACUCCUCAUCGAUGCACUCCUCCUAAAAAGCAAAAAAGAAUGACUCCAUCAAAAAAAUCUAAAUCUGGAAAUAGUGGUAGAGAGAUGUCCGCGAUUUGGAAUCACAUCUCCAAAUUUAUUGCUAAAUGAGGUAAAUGUAAGGCAAAAUGCAAUUAUUGUCCUAAAACAUUUGUUGCAGGUAGCAAGAAUGGGACUACUACAUUAUGGUCGUAUUUAACUUCUACAUGUCACAAAUCUCCCUUUAGAGCCAUUGAUAAGAGACAAUCAACAUUAAAACCUAUCAAGGAAGGGUGGCUAGAAGGUGGUUCGGGUGUUACUGAAAGGGUAGUGUAUAAUGUGGAUGACAUUAGGAGGGCGAUUGCCGAAUUUGUAAUUCUUGAUGAGCAACCUUUUAGAGUUGUUGAAGGAGAAGGAUUUAAGAAAUUAAUGGCUAAAGCCUUACCUAAUUUCGAAUUACCUUCUCGUGUAACUGUUGCCAGACAUUGUUUGAGGAUUUAUCAUGAAGAGAAGGAAAAACUUAAAAAUCUUAUUAAGAACCAACGUGUAUGUCUCACUAGUGAUACAUGGACAUCACUACAAAACUUAACUUAUAUGGUUAUUACUGCAUAUUGGAUAGUUAUUUUUUACAUUAAUUAAUAUUUAAAUAUGUUAAUUAUUUAUUCUUUUUUUUUUCCAGAAUAUGUAGACUCACAUUUGAAGAUUGAUUAGAGGGAUGAUUAACUACAAUUUGCUUCAUGACUAUUUUUGAAAGUGAGGUCAUUAUGCCUUUACAAGUAUUUUAGAAACAUGCUCCUCUGGUUGUAAUAUCUACUAAGAUGCCCAACUUCUUAGAGUUUAAUAUAUUCUCUUUUUGUUUAUUUUUUAGGACUCUUGGG
RNAcentral lists this long non-coding RNA (1444 nucleotides) under Nicotiana tabacum (common tobacco). Its description in RNAcentral is "long non-coding RNA (NTAB_LNC016812)". The record is from RNAcentral. Lineage: Eukaryota; Viridiplantae; Streptophyta; Magnoliopsida; Solanales; Solanaceae.